AGGACGAGCGCUGGCGGCGUGCUUAACACAUGCAAGUCGAGCGGAAAGGCCUUUCGGGGUACUCGAGCGGCGAACGGGUGAGUAACACGUGAGUAAUCUGCCCAUCGCUUCAGGAUAGCCAUCGGAAACGGUGAUUAAUACUGGAUAUGACAUUCCUUCGCAUGUUGGGGUGUGGUAAAGUUUUUUCGGCGGUGGAUGUGCUCGCGGCCUAUCAGCUUGUUGGUGGGGUAAUGGCCUACCAAGGCUUUGACGGGUAGCCGGCCUGAGAGGGUGACCGGCCACACUGGGGACUGAGACACGGCCCAGACCUCCACGGGGAGCAGCAGUGGGGAAU
This 334-nucleotide ribosomal RNA is filed under the name uncultured soil bacterium. RNAcentral's name for it is "bacterial SSU rRNA". It matches the Rfam family "Bacterial small subunit ribosomal RNA", at positions 26 to 362 of the family's 1533-position model. The record is from RNAcentral.